RNAcentral lists this long non-coding RNA (2374 nucleotides) under Mus musculus (house mouse). Its description in RNAcentral is "long non-coding RNA chr4:21805945-21808319". The record is from RNAcentral. Lineage: Eukaryota; Metazoa; Chordata; Mammalia; Rodentia; Muridae.
UUGAACUCACAAAUCCACCUGUCUCUGCCUCCCAAGUGCUGGGAUUAAAGGUGUGUACCACCACUGCCCAGCCAAAGCAAAUACACUUCUUAAUCUAUGUGGCAGUUAUGAAAUACAGCCGUCAAGUGUAAACAGAGUGCUUCUAUGGCAUGGUAAGUUCCCCUGCCAUCCUUCACUCAUCCCAGGGGCUUACAGAAGCCAUGCAAGUCCUCAAAAAGCCUGCUUUGUUUGAACUAUAUUAAUUUUAUUAAUUAAUUGUAUUAGUGGCUAGUUUUAGUAGAGUCAGGGUUCUGAUGUUUUCUUAAAAAUUAUCUCAGUAAAACAAAGAAUAAGUUGAUUUCUCCACUCUACAAAACCAUAUGUGCUGUAAUAAUGCCCUUCUCUGACAUUCUUACUCAGCUGGCUUCAGCUUUUAGCCCUCCCACUCCCUUUCUUCUGCUCCACCAUUUUUCUGUGUACUUUGAUUUUGAACCGACUACCUUAUAUUAAGAUUUCUGUCAUGGUGGCUGGGAAGAUGGCUCAGCUCUUAAGAGCACUGGCUGCUUUUCCAGAGCACCCAGGUUCAUUUCCCAGCAUCUAUAUGGUACCUCAAACUGUCUGUAAUUUAAAUUCCAAAAGAUCCAACACUUGCAACACUGAUAAACAUGUAGACAUAAAACACCCAUGCACAUAAAAUAAAAAUAGAUAAAUCAUUGUUUUAAAAAUGUGAUCUGGCACGGUGUCACAUUCUGGUUAAUUGCUGUACUCUGGAGGAGGCAAGAGGAUGGAGGGUGGAGUUCUGGGCAAGCCUAGGCUACAUAGUGAGACCCUGUCUGAAAAGCCAAGGAAUUCAAAAGAAAGAUUGCUACUAUUUUCUAUCGUUAUGAACUUCCUCUGAGAAAGUGCAGUUUUUGUCUCCUUUUAUACCUGGGUGGAGCUCUGUGAAGACUGUUGGACACAUUUCUUACAGCUUGGUGAGAGCUUGAGCUGGAAAGAAAGCAGAGUCACCAGUUACGUAGGUUAUUCUGUCUGGUUUCCUGGCCGUUUGCAACUGUUUUGAAUAUAUUAUCAUCUGAAUAAGUUGAAGGGUAACUACUACAUCAUGUUAUACUUUUUUUUAAAGAUAAAUUAAGAAAUUUACAAUGACAUUUACAUUUUAGAGACAUUAACUGUCCCCUGAACUAAAUUUUAGUCACAUUUUCCUAUAGCUUUGUAGUUUUUUUUUUUUCUGGAGAAGUAUACUUAUUAUGAUAGUCAUACAUCAUUGCAAAUUAAUUAAGAAUUUUCUUUGUAUUGUCUUCCUCUGUUGUACAAGUACCAUAAAAACUCAGCCAGAACACAUUGCUCUUAUUUUUCUAAUUGAGGGCCAUAGACAGUGUGAUAAAAUUAAAUUGUCACAUCUGUGGAUGUUCUUAGCCUCAUAAGCAGGGCAGCCGUGCUGGUCAGUUACCAUGCAUCCGCAGGCGGGAACUUCAUUGUCUCGCCUGGGAAUGAGCAGAUGCUAAGUGUGCUGUGGUGGACACGUGUCACUGCCCUGGGCUUUAGUCUUGUCUGCCACCAGAACCAUGUAGAAAUGAUGUAAAACUAUGGACUUUUCAUCCUGUUUCUUAAGGUUUUGUGACUAUAGAGUUGAGGAAUAUGCUAUUGCUAACUUGACUGCCAUGCUUGCUAAAGGGGGCAUGUGAGUCAAAAUUAUACAUGUUUGUGUAUAUACAGAAUAUAUGAUUAUAUAUACUGUAAACAGUUCUUUUAUUGGAUAGCCUUUCCCCCUUCAAAUUCAAGCUUUCUUUAUAUUUUUUACCUUUUUACUUGAGCUGUCACUAAGAAUAGACUAUUAUUAUCAUUUAAGAUACAUCCUUUUAACCUAUUGUUGAGUAAAAUAUGUUAAAGGCAGAAUAUCUCAGCUAGCUGCACCCUGAUGUGUGUUUAAGCAGCUCCACGCCUGGCGUUUCCUUUUCUUGUAACAUGAGUGUGAAGGUCACUUUUGUGUGUGUUUUUGUUUUUUGUUUUGUGAGUUUAUUAUAGAUCUAUAGUUGGAGCUUAAGAGGGUGAGAGCCAUGCUAAUUGAGAGGCUUGGGAGUCACCCAGGUGGUCCUUUUCACGCCCCCAGGACUGCAGUUUGAAUGCAGGGCCUGUCUGUCAGGCCGCAGUCUACCUACUGCGAUAUUUCCUCAGCUCCAAGUCACUUUUAGCCUUAUUCUAUUCUUCGUAAAGGUGGUUUGGAAUGUCUGUUGUUGUCGUCGUUGUUUUGAGACUCAGGUUUUUUUUCUGUGUGCAGCCCUGGCUGUUCUGAAACCCACUCUGUAAACCAGGCUGGCUCUGCCUUCCGAGUGCUGAGAUUAAAGACGUGCAUCACCACAACCCAGCUUGGAACCUUUCUAAAAAUUAUUAUUCU